AUGCGGAAGAGAUAAGUGCUGAAAGCAUCUAAGCACGAAACUUGCCCCGAGAUGAGUUCUCCCUGAGACUUUAGGUCUCCUGAAGGAACGUUGAAGACGACGACGUUGAUAGGCCGGGUGUGUAAGCGCAGCGAUGCGUUGAGCUAACCGGUACUAAUGAACCGUGAGGCUUAACCUU
RNAcentral lists this ribosomal RNA (178 nucleotides) under Salmonella enterica. Its description in RNAcentral is "partial 23S ribosomal RNA". It matches the Rfam family "Bacterial large subunit ribosomal RNA", at positions 2753 to 2925 of the family's 2925-position model. RNAcentral also lists the same sequence under 9 other names. The record is from RNAcentral. Lineage: Bacteria; Pseudomonadati; Pseudomonadota; Gammaproteobacteria; Enterobacterales; Enterobacteriaceae.